GGAGAUAGAUCAUACAAUCUCCUUUGAGAAAGGUUUACAUCUGUAUACCAGCAAAAGAAUUAAUCCUAGAUGGGCCAUCCUUUGCAUCUGUAUACCAGCAAAAGAAUUAUUCCUAAAUAUACAAAAUCAAUGCAAAAGAAAUGUGAAUAUAUAUACAUGGCCUACAAACAAUUAGGAAUUUGAGCGACAUCCACAUAACCUCAUAAAUCGCACUUAAAUGUAAUAAAUCAUUUUAUAUAUUAGCAAAGUUCACAAACUGCUGGUGCAUCAUUGAUUAUUUCACAAAGAAAAAUGUCUUUUUUCCUAUUAAUAUGGAUGCAUUCCAACAGCUAAUACUUAUGGAAUUUUAUUGUUCAGUCAGGUGAGUGUAAUAGAAUAGUGGAAAUAUCCAUAACUUCGCAUAUACAUUUCGAAAAUGCAGUGACAUCUAAAAGAAUAACUUAGUGGGUGUUUCCGUCCCCUAAGAUUAGGGGAACUGGUUGCUGAUAAUAGAGUAUACAUAUUUGUUUAACAACUGAACUUAUUCCUUCUAACCCCUUAACAUUAACUACCUAAUCAAUUUUCGAAAAUAUAUCCCUCUUUUGAAUUAUAAAUUUUAGUCACCUACCAUAGAUUGUCUUCUAUAUCUCUAACAAAUUAUACAAAGAAAUGUGGGCACUUAAAAGAAAAAAUACCAAAAUUGCAGCCUUUCCCUGCUCCCAAAUGAAGAAGACCUUAUCGUUUGAUUAUCUCUGUUUGUCGGAGAAGUGAACGCAGGAAAUUAUGUACUUUGAACUCACUAUAAUAAGCCCUCCAAAAUGAAAUUCGAGUUAGAAAGAAUUACACAAAUUAAAAUAAAUUCAAUAACAUACAUUAGGAAAAAAUGGUAUAGCGAAUUCGGACUUACCACAUGUCACAAAGGCUAAGCCAAUAACUCAAUUUCUUUAGCCAAGCAGCGAUAGAUUGCUUGUUGUCUCUUCAAGCCCAUCUCUAUUCAUGACAAACAUAUCAUCCUUUACAUGAGAAUUCCGACCACACUAUUUUUAAUCCACAUAUCUCAGUAAUCUCAAGAUCCGUUAAUUGACCAAACGGGGAAAAAUAUAUCAAUACACCCCCAAGGCGAAGAGACAACUAAAAUAGGAGAAAAUAAUAACAAUAUUUUGCCAGAAAAAAAAAACGUGCUUCACAUCACUUGUCUAAAAACUCGCAUAUAUGCAUGCUGAAGGAUGAAGAGCAAUAAGCUUUAAAAUGGUAAUAAAAACAAAAGAAAAAUUAUCCAAACCCACUGUAAUAUCAAUGGUAUCAACCAACUCGUAACAAAGAGUAUAAAUCAUUUUUGUAGAACUUGAGUUCGAUAAAUCCAGCUUGAGGGUGGGGGUUCAGAGCAUGAGUGUAGGAUUUAAAAAUACAAUUGGGGGUUAUUUGAUAUGGAGUUCUUGGGGUGAAAUUUGGGGUUUGCUUUGGGGAGGAAUGGCAGAAUAGGGAGCGUUGGAGGGAAAG
RNAcentral lists this long non-coding RNA (1479 nucleotides) under Nicotiana tabacum (common tobacco). RNAcentral describes it as "long non-coding RNA (NTAB_LNC003382)". Lineage: Eukaryota; Viridiplantae; Streptophyta; Magnoliopsida; Solanales; Solanaceae. The record is from RNAcentral.